AUUGAACGCUGGCGGCAGGCCUAACACAUGCAAGUCGAGCGAGUGGCGGACGGGUGAGUAAUGUAUGGGGAAAUGCCAGAUAGAGGGGGAUAACUACUGGAAACGGUGGGUAAUACCGCAUACUAUCGGAUGAACCCAUAUGGGAUUAGCUAGUGGGUGGGGUAAAGGCUCACCUAGGCGACGAUCCCUAGCUGGUCUGAGAGGAUGACCAGCCACACUGGAACUGAGACACGGCCCAGACUCCUACGGGAGGCAGCAGUGGGGAAGAUUGCACAAUGGGCGCAAGCCUGAUGCAGCCAUGCCGCGUGUAUGAAGAAGGUCUUAGGGUUGUAAAGUACUUUCAGCGGGGAGGCGUUACCCGCAGAAGAAGCACCGGCUAACUCCGUGCCAGCAGCCGCGGUAAUUC
Molecule: ribosomal RNA, 406 nt
Filed under: uncultured bacterium
Lineage: Bacteria
Description: partial 16S ribosomal RNA
Rfam family: Bacterial small subunit ribosomal RNA
Source: RNAcentral